GACGAACGCUGACGGCGUGCUUAACACAUGCAAGUCGAACGGAAAGGCCCUGCUUUUGUGGGGUGCUCGAGUGGCGAACGGGUGAGUAACACGUGAGUAACCUGCCCUUGACUUUGGGAUAACUUCAGGAAACUGGGGCUAAUACCGGAUAGGAGCUCCUGCUGCAUGGUGGGGGUUGGAAAGUUUCGGCGGUUGGGGAUGGACUCGCGGCUUAUCAGCUUGUUGGUGGGGUAGUGGCUUACCAAGGCUUUGACGGGUAGCCGGCCUGAGAGGGUGACCGGCCACAUUGGGACUGAGAUACGGCCCAGACUCCUACGGGAGGCAGCAGGGGGGAAUAUUGCACAAUGGGCGGAAGCCUGAUGCAGCAACGCCGCGUGCGGGAUGACGGCCUUCGGGUUGUAAACCGCUUUCGCCUGUGACGAAGCGUGAGUGACGGUAAUGGGUAAAGAAGCACCGGCUAACUACGUG
This 468-nucleotide ribosomal RNA is filed under the name uncultured bacterium. Its description in RNAcentral is "partial 16S ribosomal RNA". It matches the Rfam family "Bacterial small subunit ribosomal RNA", at positions 28 to 507 of the family's 1533-position model. The record is from RNAcentral.